UAAGCCAGCUAGACAGUCGCCCAGUUAUGAUACUAGUUAUUGACUGGGAGGAAAGUCCGGGCUCCAUAGGGCAAAGUGCCAGGUAACACCUGGGAGGCGAAAGUCUACGGAAAGUGCAACAGAAAGUAUACCGCUGUCGAAUGUCUCGACAGUAAGGGUGAAAUGGUGCGGUAAGAGCAGCACCGCGUUCGUGGUAACACAAACGGCGAUGGUAAACCCCACUUGGAGCAAGGCCAAAUAAAAAUCUUUGAAUGUGUAGCCCGCACUCAGAUUUGGGUAGGCUGCUUGAGGUGUGUGGUGACAUACAUCCUAGAUAGAUGACUGUCCAUGACAGAACCCGGCUUAUCGGCUGGCUGUUGCU
RNAcentral lists this RNase P RNA (361 nucleotides) under Coxiella endosymbiont of Amblyomma nuttalli. RNAcentral's name for it is "RnaseP". It matches the Rfam family "Bacterial RNase P class A". From Rfam's summary of the family: Ribonuclease P (RNase P) is a ubiquitous endoribonuclease, found in archaea, bacteria and eukarya as well as chloroplasts and mitochondria. Its best characterised activity is the generation of mature 5'-ends of tRNAs by cleaving the 5'-leader elements of precursor-tRNAs. Lineage: Bacteria; Pseudomonadati; Pseudomonadota; Gammaproteobacteria; Legionellales; Coxiellaceae. The record is from RNAcentral.